Molecule: ribosomal RNA, 455 nt
Filed under: uncultured bacterium
Lineage: Bacteria
Description: bacterial SSU rRNA
Rfam family: Bacterial small subunit ribosomal RNA
Source: RNAcentral
AGAGUUUGAUCCUGGCUCAGAUUGAACGCUGGCGGCAUGCUUUACACAUGCAAGUCGAACGGCAGCACGGGUGCUUGCACCUGGUGGCGAGUGGUGAACGGGUGAGUAAUGCACCGGAACGUACCCAGUAAUGGGGGAUAACACAUCGAAAGAUGUGCUAAUACCGCAUACGCCCUGAGGGGGAAAGCGGGGGAUCGUAAGACCUCGCGUUAUUGGAGCGGCCGAUGCCGGAUUAGCUAGUUGGUGGGGUAAAGGCUCACCAAGGCGACGAUCCGUAGCUGGUCUGAGAGGACGACCAGCCACACUGGGACUGAGACACGGCCCAGACUCCUACGGGAGGCAGCAGUGGGGAAUUUUGGACAAUGGGCGAAAGCCUGAUCCAGCCAUGCCGCGUGAGUGAAGAAGGCCUUCGGGUUGUAAAGCUCUUUCGCAAGGAAAGAAAACUUAUCUACUAA